This is a long non-coding RNA of Malaya genurostris, 784 nucleotides long. RefSeq lists it as uncharacterized. The record is from RefSeq and is a predicted model, not a curated record. NCBI's taxonomy places the organism in Eukaryota, Metazoa, Arthropoda, Insecta, Diptera, Culicidae. The transcript is spliced from 2 exons.
GAUAAAGGCCCGUAACUUGCUGAGUUUUGCUUCUAUAGGCUUGAAAAUUUCACAGAAUAUUCUUGAAAUAUUUUACUAUAAGAAAAUACAAAGAAAAUAAUAAAUGAUUUUUCAAAAGUGUAGACCCUACCCGCCCCGAACCUAUAGUUUCGACGUAGUUCAACUGAAAAUCGAGUCAGUUUCGAACCUGGUUUCUUAUAUCAGGUUAGCAAGAAUUUCCGUUGCUAGGUAACAAAAAAGAAACAACUAAUCCAACACAGUUUCGUUAAAAUUGUUUGCUUCUUGAAUCUACCCUGGGUCAGUUUCAGUUUUCUCAAGCGACAUAAGUACUUUUUCCUCAGUGUUUCCGGUAGAAAGUUUUCAUCACAGCAGGCUAGACAUUGAACGAAAAAAAAUCUCCCGUCAUUGUAUUUCGAGCUACUUCAAGAUAGGAAGCAUAAAUUGAGCAGUAAAACCAAAUUGAAGCGAAUUUCAAACAAUUUUUUUUUGGAAAUAUCAAGAGCAUAUAGGACCACUCUCGGAAUGGAUGGAAUUACCAAACGUUCAAACAACGAAACUCACCAGGAACCGAUGGACGCGGGACGCCGUCGCCGCGGCAACAGAUCUCGAUCGAGGUCCCGUUCCCGACAAGGGAUGGGCCGUAGAAGCAGCCGUACUCGCAUGAGUCGUUCCCGUAGCCGUUCUCGCAGCAGACGUAGAUAGAGUUGAAAUCUUUAACGGUGAUGUAGGGACAUCGAGUUUUCGAAGUUGGGUGUGAAUAAAAAUUUCAUGAAAAGUUAAGAAA